RNAcentral lists this ribosomal RNA (442 nucleotides) under Legionella pneumophila. RNAcentral describes it as "partial 23S ribosomal RNA". It matches the Rfam family "Bacterial large subunit ribosomal RNA", at positions 1 to 474 of the family's 2925-position model. The record is from RNAcentral. Lineage: Bacteria; Pseudomonadati; Pseudomonadota; Gammaproteobacteria; Legionellales; Legionellaceae.
UUAUAUGGUCAAGAAGAGAAGCGCAAACGGUGGAUGCCUUGGCAGUAAGAGGCGAAGAAGGACGUGGAAUCCUGCGAAAAGCUAUGGGGAGCUGGAAACGAGCGUUGAGCCAUAGAUGUCCGAAUGGGGGAACCCGGCUGCAGCGAUGCGGUCAUUUGCAUUUGAAUACAUAGGAUGCAAAGGCGAACUCGGGGAACUGAAACAUCUAAGUACCCGAAGGAAAAGAAAUCAAGAGAGAUUCUCCAAGUAGCGGCGAGCGAACGGGGAGGAGCCUGGCGUGAUUUAUUAUUGAACUGAGUAGAACAAUUUGGGAAAGUUGGCGAUAGAGGGUGAAAGCCCCGUAUACGAAGGUUUGAUGAGGAACUAGGCACGCGAACAAGUAGGCCGGGACACGUGAAAUCCUGGUUGAAGAUGGGUGGACCAUCAUCCAAGGCUAAAUACU